UCCCUGGCAGUCUAGUAGUUAAGACUCUGUGCUUCCAAUGCAGGGGUUGCAGGUUCAACUCCUGGUCAGAGAA
RNAcentral lists this transfer RNA (73 nucleotides) under Bos taurus (domestic cattle). It matches the Rfam family "tRNA". Rfam says of the family: Transfer RNA (tRNA) molecules are approximately 80 nucleotides in length. Their secondary structure includes four short double-helical elements and three loops (D, anti-codon, and T loops). RNAcentral also lists the same sequence under 4 other names. The record is from Rfam by way of RNAcentral. Lineage: Eukaryota; Metazoa; Chordata; Mammalia; Artiodactyla; Bovidae.